GACGAACGCUGGCGGCGUGCCUAAUACAUGCAAGUAGAACGCUGAAGGAAGGAGCUUGCUCUUUCCGGAUGAGUUGCGAACGGGUGAGUAACGCGUAGGUAACCUGCCUGGUAGCGGGGGAUAACUAUUGGAAACGAUAGCUAAUACCGCAUAACAGUAGAUAUCGCAUGAUAGCUGCUUAAAAGGUGCAAUUGCACCACUACCAGAUGGACCUGCGUUGUAUUAGCUAGUUGGUGAGGUAACGGCUCACCAAGGCCACGAUACAUAGCCGACCUGAGAGGGUGAUCGGCCACACUGGGACUGAGACACGGCCCAGACUCCUACGGGAGGCAGCAGUAGGGAAUCUUCGGCAAUGGACGGAAGUCUGACCGAGCAACGCCGCGUGAGUGAAGAAGGUUUUCGGAUCGUAAAGCUCUGUUGUAAGAGAAGAACGAGUGUGAGAGUGGAAAGUUCACACUGUGACGGUAUCUUACCA
RNAcentral lists this ribosomal RNA (475 nucleotides) under Streptococcus infantis. RNAcentral's name for it is "bacterial SSU rRNA". It matches the Rfam family "Bacterial small subunit ribosomal RNA", at positions 28 to 485 of the family's 1533-position model. Lineage: Bacteria; Bacillati; Bacillota; Bacilli; Lactobacillales; Streptococcaceae. The record is from RNAcentral.